AAAAAAACCCAGAUGAACGAGGCGCCCUCGCUCAACCAUAUCCACCUCACGCCGACGUGGUGUCUCCCGACGAUGACCUCGUCCUCAUGCCCUCACCGUCCUCCUCCUCAAGAUGUCACCAUCGCGUCCCCUCCAGAAUUCGGCCAUGGCCGCCACCGAAGCCAUCCUCUCAAUCGCCACCGGCCAGCCCUCACCUCCACAUCGCUAUCUCUCAACCUCCAUGGAUCUUCUCCCGGAUGGAUCUGUCCAUGUCGCUAGAUCGGGGGAGGGGGGCCUCCACCAUCGUCGUUCUUCUCCCUUCCCGACCUCCCGUCGCCGUGCUCCACGGAUCUGGCCGUGGCCACAACCGACGCAGCUUCCCCGGCCACCUCCGACGACGCUAGGGAGGUGGCCACGGUGGUCGCUGCCGGGUCCAUGGAGGAGCUCACCCCAGUCUUCUCCUCGCCCCCCUCCCACGGCUGGGUCUCCUGAUCCCUAGCAGUGCUUUGCUACGGGCAGCGACGGACAAUUAACUGCUCCCUCCGUAAACUAAUAUAUGAGCGUUUAAAUCACUAUUUUAGUAAUAUAAAUGCUUUUAUAUUAGUUUACAGAGGGGUAGCUAAUUAUCGUCUCUCAGCUCUACAAGAACAGUACAUCAUGCAUGUGUAGCAAAAAAUACUUCCGGUACUGAUUCUAACCGAUUUCCCAUAAAGUGCAUCGUUACUGAUAGCUUUGUACCAGGGACUGAGGAUAUGCAGAUAUGAUAAUUACACUACAGAUUUUCUCUUUUAGCUAGAUGCGUACCCAUAGGCCGUUAUUCAGUGCAUUUGAAAUAAACCUUGGCAUUAAUGGUUUAUCAGUUUACGUGUGCAAGAUACAAUAAGAAGACUAAUGAUCUUACUAAGGAGCAUGUUGAGAGUGCAGAUGAUACUGCUAAGUUUGUCCGCAUCGUCGUGAGGUGGAGAGCCAAAAUGCCUGAAGCUUAUGACAUGGGUGAAGGAGAUGAAAGCUCUAGGGAAGUAGGGAGUACCACAAGAUCUGACUCACCACUGUCUGAUCUAGGCACUGGCUGGCCAAGGUAAUGAAGGGUGACAUAGGGAGGGCUAAGAGACACUGGUGAUGUUCUCUUUUUAUUUUGCAUUUACUUAUUUAUUUCACAUUUACUUAGUCAGGUUAUUUUAUUAUACCUGAGGUAAUUCACCGGCAUUGUUUCUAAAUUAGAUUGUGUUUUGUUUUAUUCUGGAGUGUAUAUACUGUUGCACAAAACUAUCUGCAUAUGAAAUGGCAUGAUAUUAGUCUUUUCAUUUUUUGAAGAAUGUCACUAGCCUUUGAGCAAUCAAAAUUAUGUCCUGAAGUUAUCGACACUUGAAUAUACAUUAUGAUUUAGUGCACUUUCAGUCAAUGGUCAAUGCAUCACUAUUUUCUGGAAACAUUCCGUUCCAGGUGAAAUUUUCUUUUCAGCUUGAUAUGUUAAUAAUAUUAUUACCAUGUUUCUCGGAAAUGUCUAUUUGAGAACUUUUCGGCUAAAGUGGUGCUUGUAUAUUGGACAAGUAAGACACUCAAAAAUAGAUUCAGCAUGGUUCCUGCACUCCCAACUUUUCAUGGUUCACUUCACGUAAAAAAAACUUCUUCGUCAUGGGGCAACUGUGGUGGUUCGCGACUCUGCGAGAAGAUGAUCGAGGGUCAGCGGCGCGUCUGCUUCAUCGUCAUCUUCGAUGAGUCCAAGUGAUUUAUAUCUGGUACCGACCGACAAUGAUUGUCCAUUGGCAUGCUCGAUCGAAUGUCACUGCUUUUAUCAUGAAAUCCAACGCUUGUAGAUGCCACUCAAAAGAGAAUUCUGAAGCUGAUGAACUUGGAUAGCUUGACAAUCUACCUUAGCAACAGACAUCUCCACGUAAAUGGUGGCGGCUAGGGUGAUCAGGGAGGAUGACGCGCUACGGCAACAAUAAAAGCGCAAUGCCGCAAUCUCUCUCGUGAUUGAAUUAUCCCAGUCUGAAAUCUGGAUGGAGUUCCCCACGGAAAGUGAAUACCUUUCAAUUGGAUGCUCGAGGGAGUAGGGUACCCUAUGAGGCAAGUGGAUGGUUGUAUAUAUGUUCUAAAUCAAAUCAAGUGUUCCCUUUUUCUGUACUGCAAUUGUGGUUAUAUUAUUGGUUUAUAAAUCUGUAGAGAAACUGCAUUUGCUAUACCCUAUAUCUGAGAUAACAUAAUUUGCUUUCCAAUUGCAGCUUUAGAUUAGGCGUUUAUGCCAAGUUUCAUUUUUUUCUUAAUCCCAGUUUUGUGCUAAUUAUAUUUUGUUCUUUGAUGGGCAGUUGUAUUGCCGGCUGAUGCAACCAUGUGCUAAUCUGCCGGCAGUGAGCAGGUAGAGUUGAGGGAUGGUGGCCAGUUGCCUGGCGGGUGCACCGGUGAGUACAACAUGGAAGAGCCUGACAGUCCGUCUGCUGCCCCGUGCAAGGGCCAGUUGGUCGAGGUAUUGUGCGUAAGUUGUACUAGCAAAAGAGUCCGUGCUUUGCAACGAAGGAAAAAAUAACACACGCUUUUAACCCAACAACCAUCACUUAAGACCACAAAUAGGUCAAUCUCCUUUAUUUUAGUGAGGCAUCACAUUUGUGUAGCCUCUUAUCCUCCUCACCCUCGUCGGCGGUGGUCACAGUGUUCACACAAACCAAAACGUGUUUGAAUGCGGUUAAUCUUAAGACAUCUCUCUCUCCCUCUUGCUCUUUCUCACUCCCGCGAUGAGAAAUCUGUUGUUUUCCCCUGCGAGGUUUUUCAAAGGUAUGCAUGUGUAGUUAUCGAUGUUUUCUCCCUAUAUGGUUUUAGUGGGUGUUUAUUUGCAAUCCGGAUCGCCGCCGGUACAAAAGAAAAAUGGAUCGUGCGCUAUAGACUAUAAGUUUGCUUCCAAAAAUAUAUUUAAAAAAUAUUUAACAAGUAAAAAUAACAUCAUAUUCAGAUUGUACACAUUUUUCUAAUCAAAUUUCAUAUAUAACAUGUUAAAAUUGGAGUUACAGUUUAAAAGAUACAGAUAAUUUAGAAAAGCAUUUGUUUUAUUUAAAUAUCUUCCAAAAUAAUAUUUAAAAAUAUUUAACAGGUAAAAAUAACAAAAAAUACAUGAAGAGUUGUUAAAAAGGUUGUUAAAAAGAUACAUGAUUUUCUAAUCAUAAAAAUAUUUUUUUGUCUGGAAAAGAUCAUUUUUGUAUGGUCUUCUGUGGACGCAGGUACUUGCGCCCCUAUUUCAUCACUAUUUCUUGCUAUACAUGUCAUAGGUAUCGGUCCUUGUUUCAUCAUGAUUUAUAUCUUAUCAAACUUGUCUUUUAUUUAAUGUUUUGUCAUGCAUGCCUCCUUUUUAUUUUUUUCUGGCACAUCCUCUUUUUUCUUCUUCUUAUAUAUAGGGGAAUAACGCAACAUCUCAUCUUUAUCUGAUCUCCUCUGCAUUUUCUCUUUUAUUUCUUUUAUAGCGGACAUCCCAUCUUUAUUUGGUCUUGCUUUUAUUUCUUGUCAUGCAUGUCCUUAUUUAUUGGGUGUCUUUAGAAAAUUUAUUUUCAACUUCAUGUCCAAUCUUGAUUUUGCUGAGGUGUUCAUCCCCAAUAAGAAUCAGUACCGAUAUGAAAAAAAAGACAAAUAAUGCAUUGUUGAUUAACAUUGCAGCCUAGAUAGUAUUUUGUAAAUGUUAACAGGUAAAACAACAUCAUAUUUAGAUUCUACACAUUUUUCUAAUCAAAUUCCGUAUAUAACAUGUUAAAUUUGAAGUUAUGGUUUAAAAGAUAUGAGUAUUUAAAAAACAAUUAAUAUAUAACGCGGGUUUAAUGUCAGAAACAUUAGGGUUUUUUCCUAUAAAUUAGCAAAAUGGACUAAGAAUAUCUAUUUCUUUUAUUAGUAGGUAUAGAUUUCUCAUAUUUAUUGUAUCAAUAGAUUGACUGUCGGGUCCUUCCCUACAGAAUUUGUAGAAAAAAAAACUACAAGGGAAGUACAUAUGAAGAUACUGCAGUCUGCAGUUAACUUCUCUUUUGCCAUUUUGGUAUAACUUUGGUGGUCGUUUUAUUAUCCAUUGAGACCCAUGUUUGAUCACCAUAGCUACAGGGAAGAGCAGACUAUUGAUAUGUACAGUAUCACUACUAUUUUAGCAGACAUGAGUUACACUGUCAUCUUUUCAGGAAGAAAUGACUAGAGCAAAAAAUACCCAGUUUUAAAAAUAGUGACAGUCCAACAUCAUGAGGAUGCCAUAUUGACAUAAGUGUAUGAUUAUUUGUCAGAAAGAAAUUUAUACAUGUGUUUUUUUAUAUCUGUAGAGUGUAGACUGUAUCUCUCCUGAUCUAUUUGUAGUAACACUGACAUUGGUGUCAUGGUUUUUCUUAUAUUUUAGUGCUAAGUACUACCGUGUGGACCUUGGAGGGAGUUUUAUUAUUGAUUAA
Triticum aestivum (bread wheat) is the source of this 4385-nucleotide long non-coding RNA. RefSeq lists it as uncharacterized. The record is from RefSeq and is a predicted model, not a curated record. Lineage: Eukaryota; Viridiplantae; Streptophyta; Magnoliopsida; Poales; Poaceae. The transcript has 2 exons.